CUACGGGAGGCAGCAGUGGGGAAUUUUGGACAAUGGGGGCAACCCUGAUCCAGCCAUGCCGCGUGAGUGAAGAAGGCCUUCGGGUUGUAAAGCUCUUUCAGCCGGAAAGAAAUCGUGCAACCUAAUACGUUGUAUGGGUGACGGUACCGGAAGAAGAAGCACCGGCUAACUACGUGCCAGCAGCCGCGGUAAUACGUAGGGUGCGAACGUUAAUCGGAAUUACUGGGCGUAAAGCGUGCGCAGGCGGUUUUGUAAGACAGGUGUGAAAUCCCCGGGCUUAACCUGGGAACUGCAUUUGUGACUGCAAGGCUAGAGUAUGGCAGAGGGGGGUAGAAUUCCACGUGUAGCAGUGAAAUGCGUAGAUAUGUGGAGGAAUACCGAUGGCGAAGGCAGCCCCCUGGGUCAAUACUGACGCUCAUGCACGAAAGCGUGGGGAGCAAACAGGAUUAGAUACCCUGGUAGUCCACGCCCUAAACGAUGUCAACUAGGUGUUGGGGGAGGAGACUUCCUUAGUACCUCAGCUAACGCGUGAAGUUGACCGCCUGGGRAGKACGGCCGCAAGGUUGAAACUCAAAUGAAUKGACGGWRAUUYG
RNAcentral lists this ribosomal RNA (593 nucleotides) under uncultured Sideroxydans sp. Its description in RNAcentral is "bacterial SSU rRNA". It matches the Rfam family "Bacterial small subunit ribosomal RNA", at positions 339 to 923 of the family's 1533-position model. Lineage: Bacteria; Pseudomonadati; Pseudomonadota; Betaproteobacteria; Nitrosomonadales; Gallionellaceae. The record is from RNAcentral.